UGGGGGAUUGUCUAAUGGUAGGACGCCAGACUCUGGAUCUGGUAGUGGAGGUUCGAGUCCUCCUCCCCCAGCCA
Molecule: transfer RNA, 74 nt
Filed under: Candidatus Aerophobota bacterium
Lineage: Bacteria; Candidatus Aerophobota
Also listed under: 1 other name
Description: tRNA-Gln
Rfam family: tRNA
About the family: Transfer RNA (tRNA) molecules are approximately 80 nucleotides in length. Their secondary structure includes four short double-helical elements and three loops (D, anti-codon, and T loops). Further hydrogen bonds mediate the characteristic L-shaped molecular structure. tRNAs have two regions of fundamental functional importance: the anti-codon, which is responsible for specific mRNA codon recognition, and the 3' end, to which the tRNAs corresponding amino acid is attached (by aminoacyl-tRNA synthetases). tRNAs cope with the degeneracy of the genetic code in two manners: having more than one tRNA (with a specific anti-codon) for a particular amino acid; and 'wobble' base-pairing, i.e. permitting non-standard base-pairing at the 3rd anti-codon position.
Source: RNAcentral